This 465-nucleotide ribosomal RNA is filed under the name Vreelandella stevensii. RNAcentral describes it as "partial 16S ribosomal RNA". It matches the Rfam family "Bacterial small subunit ribosomal RNA", at positions 338 to 795 of the family's 1533-position model. Lineage: Bacteria; Pseudomonadati; Pseudomonadota; Gammaproteobacteria; Oceanospirillales; Halomonadaceae. The record is from RNAcentral.
CCUACGGGGGGCUGCAGUGGGGAAUAUUGGACAAUGGGGGGAACCCUGAUCCAGCCAUGCCGCGUGUGUGAAGAAGGCCCUCGGGUUGUAAAGCACUUUCAGUGAGGAAGAACGCCUGGUGGUUAAUACCCAUCAGGAAAGACAUCACUCACAGAAGAAGCACCGGCUAACUCCGUGCCAGCAGCCGCGGUAAUACGGAGGGUGCGAGCGUUAAUCGGAAUUACUGGGCGUAAAGCGCGCGUAGGUGGCUUGAUAAGCCGGUUGUGAAAGCCCCGGGCUCAACCUGGGAACGGCAUCCGGAACUGUCAAGCUAGAGUGCAGGAGAGGAGGGUAGAAUUCCCGGUGUAGCGGUGAAAUGCGUAGAGAUCGGGAGGAAUACCAGUGGCGAAGGCGGCCUUCUGGACUGACACUGACACUGAGGUGCGAAAGCGUGGGUAGCAAACAGGAUUAGAUACCCCAGUAGUC